This 1487-nucleotide long non-coding RNA is filed under the name Pan troglodytes (chimpanzee). RNAcentral describes it as "long non-coding RNA NONPTRT003152". Lineage: Eukaryota; Metazoa; Chordata; Mammalia; Primates; Hominidae. The record is from RNAcentral.
AAGAAACUCCACACCUAUUAGCAGUCACUCCGCCUUUCCUCCCCAAUCCUCCCAGCCCCUGGCAUUCACUGACCUACUUUCUGUCUCAGUAUUUGCCCAUUCUGGUCAUUUCUUAUACAUGGAAUCAUACAAUAUGUGGCCUUUUGUGAAGUUGGCAUGACGUCUUCAAGAUUCAUGUUGUUGCCUCAAUUCCUUUUUAUUACAGACCUGAGCACUUCCAUGUAUUACCCCAUUUAGUCCUCAUUCCCUGAUGGGUAAAGUAAGGCUCAGGGAAGAGGUAGUGACCUGUCCAAGGUCACAUAGCAAUUCAGUUGAGGGUGACCAGGCUAGAAUCCAGGCACUUCAUGAUCAGAAAAGGGGCUGAGAGCAGUGCAGUGCAGUCUGGGGGGCACAGCGUGGGCCUGGCAGUUAUGGGAGGGAGAAAGGGUAGGGGAGCAGGCAGGUGCGUCCCGGGAUGUGAGGAUGAGACAGGACGCCGGACGUGCACGCCCAUCCCAGCAUCCUGCCUCUGCUCCAUAGUGCGUGUUUACUCCAUCUCAGUCAUGGACUCUUGCUUUUCCCUGUGCAAGCAGGAGGCUGUGCAAGUACAGGGUAGGGGCCAGGAAUUCUGACAGAAAAUAGGACUUUGGGCUGGGGAGGGGCCUUGGACAUCAGGCUCAGAGGUGAGAGCGUUCUCUUGUCCCAGAGCCAGCAGUAGCUCUUGGCAGGGUAUUUCUUGGGAACUUGGCUGGUAUCAGCAGCCCUGGGACAUAGCUUGGAGAAAUCGAUUGGACCUAAGUAAUGCCAUUAUCCCUGGCAGGAAGGGGAGGGGAGGGGAUGGGCUGGUGAGGGAUGGUGGAGAGAGUCCCGUCUCAGAGAUCGUCCCGGCGGCCGAGUGUGGUGUAAGUAGCAUGCCUCUGUUAGCAGAACUUCUGGGCACUUCUCUGAAGUAUGGUCCAAGAAGUCCCUAGUGCUUCCUGCUCUUGCUGCCCUGUGUUGCUCCCUGGGGACAUGGGGUUAACGCAGACCAUCCCAUGGGGCAGGCAGGCAUGUCCACGGUGCUCUCACAGUGUGCCCAGGUAAGAGGGAGGGACAUGCCAGGGAUAUGGGAGGCUGGGGAGACCUCUAACCAAACUGGGCCUCCAUGGAGGAGGGAACAUCUGACACUUGAAGGAUCGGGAAGUGUUCACCAGGUGAAGGGAAGCAAGGCUGGAAAAGCAGUAGUGGUCAGAUCCCGGUCACUGCCUGUUAAGAAGUUCAGUCCAGCUGCAGAGGCAGAGCCUGGGUGGCCUUGGCAGCACCUGAUAACUAAAGCCGUGAGAGUGGACAAGAUGGCUGCAGCCAGGAGAGCAUACAGAAGAGAGAGAAGAGGUUUGCCUCCCAGAGAAUCCCCUACAGUUAUGAACAGGACAAAAAUGCACCAGGGGGAGAGGAGACUCUGAGAGCCAGUAUCAGCGAAGUUCUGGGCCGAGGCAUGACGCAUGCACUUCUACUUCCCUCUUUUCCAG